RNAcentral lists this long non-coding RNA (399 nucleotides) under Helianthus annuus (common sunflower). The stretch from base 310 to 399 matches the Rfam family "Eukaryotic large subunit ribosomal RNA", at positions 1 to 90 of the family's 3401-position model. The record is from RNAcentral. Lineage: Eukaryota; Viridiplantae; Streptophyta; Magnoliopsida; Asterales; Asteraceae.
UAAUCCCGUGAACCACCGAUUUUUUGAUCGCAAGUUGCUCCUGAAGCAUCCAGUUGUGGGCACGUCUGCGUGGGUGUCACACAUUACGUCGCCCCCACCAGGCCAUCCCUUUUAGGGUUGCCUUGUGUUGGCGCGGAGAUUGGUCUCCCGUGCCCAUGGCGUGGUUGGCUUAAAUAGGAGUCUCCUCAUGAGGGACGCACGGCUAGUGGUGGUUGAUAAGACAGUCGUCUCGUGUCGUGCGUUUACUUUCUUCAGUGUAGAUGCUCUUAAAGUACCCCGACAUGUUAUCUUAUGACGAUGAUUCGAUCGCGACCCCAGGUUAGGCGGGACUACUCUCUGAGUUUAUGCAUAUCAAUAAGUGGAGGAAAAGAAAUCUACAAGAAUUCCCUUAUUAACGGU